GAUGAACGCUGGCGGCGUGCUUAACACAUGCAAGUCGAACGGUGAAGCUCCAGCUUGCUGGAGUGGAUCAGUGGCGAACGGGUGAGUAACACGUGAGCAACCUGCCCCUGACUCUGGGAUAACAGCCGGAAACGGCUGCUAAUACCGGAUAUGCACCAUGAACGCAUGUUCUGUGGUGGGAAAGAUUUUUCGGUUGGGGAUGGGCUCGCGGCGUAUCAGCUUGUUGGUGAGGUAAUGGCUCACCAAGGCGUCGACGGGUAGCCGGCCUGAGAGGGUGACCGGCCACACUGGGACUGAGACACGGCCCAGACUCCUACGGGAGGCAGCAGUGGGGAAUAUUGCACAAUGGGCGAAAGCCUGAUGCAGCAACGCCGCGUGAGGGAUGACGGCCUUCGGGUUGUAAACCUCUUUUAGCAGGGAAGAAGCGAGAGUGACGGUACCUGCAGAAAAAGCGCCGGCUAACUACGUG
Molecule: ribosomal RNA, 469 nt
Filed under: uncultured bacterium
Lineage: Bacteria
Description: partial 16S ribosomal RNA
Rfam family: Bacterial small subunit ribosomal RNA
Source: RNAcentral